GUGCCAGCCGCCGCGGUAAUACAUAGGGGGCGAGCGUUAUCCGGAAUUAUUGGGCGUAAAGGGUGCGUAGGCGGUUUAUUAAGUCUGGCGUGAAAUCCCACAGCUUAACUGUGGAGGGUCGUUGGAAACUGGUAAACUUGAGUACAGUAGAGGUAAGUGGAAUUCCAAGUGGAGCGGUGGAAUGCGUAGAUAUUUGGAGGAACACCAGUGGCGAAGGCGGCUUACUGGGCUGGAACUGACGCUGAGGCACGAAAGCGUGGGGAGCAAACAGGAUUAGAUACCCUGGUAGUCCACGCCGUAAACGAUGAGCACUAAGUGUCGGGAGUUAUCUCGGCGCUGCAGUUAACACAAUAAGUGCUCCGCCUGGGGAGUACGGUCGCAAGACUGAAACUCAAAUGAAUUGACGG
RNAcentral lists this ribosomal RNA (407 nucleotides) under uncultured bacterium. RNAcentral's name for it is "bacterial SSU rRNA". It matches the Rfam family "Bacterial small subunit ribosomal RNA", at positions 505 to 916 of the family's 1533-position model. The record is from RNAcentral.